This is a long non-coding RNA of Apteryx haastii (Great spotted kiwi), 1701 nucleotides long. The record is from Ensembl. Lineage: Eukaryota; Metazoa; Chordata; Aves; Apterygiformes; Apterygidae.
AUGCGGCCCAGCAAAGGCCCUUGGCACGUGGGGGGACUGCCAGGAUGGGCAAACCCCCGCGCUGUCCCCACGCGCAGCAGGCGCCCUGCCUGCUGCCGGGCUCUGUUCUGCUGGUUCAGGCACGUGGACUGGCCACGAAAGCAGCUUAGCGGCAUCCCAGGCCGCAGCAGCCUGGCUCCCGGUGCCCUCCCUGCCACGUGCCGAGCGUCCCUGUUCCGGCCCCGCAGUCGCUCGGGGGCAGGAAGGCUGCAAUGGGAAGCAGACAGCUGCUCCUGGGACCUUCCCUGCACCUCGGCCCUGGCUGUUGGACGCCGGGCAGGGGAGCGGGUCGGCGUGCAAAGGGGACACCGCAGCGCCUCUCCUGGGGGGAGCAGCGGGGAAGCCCCAUGGCUGUGGAGGGGACGCAGGCAGGUCACAUCGUGCCGACAUAGAGGACAUGGUUGGGGAUGGUGCUGCAGUCAUUGCCCAGGGUCACCUCGAGGAUCUCGACACCGAGCCCCGGAGGGGUCCGUGCUGGGCCGAGCGCAGCRUUGGGGCCCUGCCCGGCCCCACAUCUCCGUGGCUGGAGCCCCAUGCCGCAGCCGGGACAGCAGCGAAGCCGCGUGGACCCUGCCGCGUCGCCGGCUGGUCCGUGGGAGGGUGCGUCUGGGCGUGGGGACGGCUCCGCAGCCGCUYCCGCUCCUGGCUGCCAUUAACCCCGUUCUGCGUGCCGUUUCCCAGGCCGGGCUGGGCCGUGGGGGGGGGGCGCAGGGGCUCCGCGUCCCUGGCACGACAGGGCUCAGCCCGGCUCCGAGGCCGUGGCAGCCCCGGUGGCCAGGCAGCCUCGUUUGGUGCUGCCGGGGCCGGGCGGGCAGGGCUGCCCGGUGCCGCGGUGGGUGGCAGGUGGAUGCCGGGGUUGUGCAGAGCAGCCCGCGAGCGCAGGCAGGGGGGAGAGAGCAGUCCGGCCCCGGGGCAGGCAAGGACACGGUGCUGGACAGGGUCUCUGGCAGUCUGGGGGUAAUGGGGCUGGAUGGAGCAGCCCCUUUCCAGCUGCACAGCCCCUGUGUGAUGCGCGGGAAGGAUAUGGUGGCCAUGGGCACCUGGUGUGGGAUACAGCUCCCCGUCCAGCCGCCCUCGCGCUGGCCUGGCAGAAGCUCUGGAGGCGGCAGGAUUGCGGUGUCGGGGCUCUGCUGUCUCCCCGGCCCUGCGAGGGGCUGCAGGCCUGGGCUGCCGAGGGCUAGAUCCUGCCCGGCGCUGAGUUCUGGAUGGGGACGGGGGCAGCGYGAGUCCCCAAGCUUGCGCCUGGUGACAUCCCUGAGCUUGCACCUUGCAGGGCCCCUGCGUGCCGGGGGCACCGCGGGCAGGCAGAGGCUGUGCUGGGGCAGGGGUGCGGGCAGGGUCACCCCGAUGUCCCAGCCGGCUCCACCGGAGCAGAGGCGACAAGGGCCGGGGCAGGCCGGGGAGAUGUGGAGGGGCACCCAGCACCCCAGCGCAUCCCCAGGCCUGGCAGGAGCCCCCGAAGGGCCGUCCCUGCGCCCUCGCCCCGACCGGCAAGGCCAGCGCGGUCCCCGAGGACCAGCCUGCACCCCAAGGGGCCGGGGGAGCUUCGGCCGCUGCCGCGCGGCCGGGUCUCCUGCUCGAGCGGGGAAGCGGUUAACGGCCGCGGCGGGGCUGAGCAGCCUGUCCGAGGCCGCGGCGGGUGGGCGGCGCGGCGAGAGUUAA